RNAcentral lists this ribosomal RNA (436 nucleotides) under uncultured Gammaproteobacteria bacterium. RNAcentral's name for it is "bacterial SSU rRNA". It matches the Rfam family "Bacterial small subunit ribosomal RNA", at positions 30 to 500 of the family's 1533-position model. The record is from RNAcentral. Lineage: Bacteria; Pseudomonadati; Pseudomonadota; Gammaproteobacteria.
UGAACGCUGGCUGCAUGCUUAACACAUGCAAGUCGAACGAGAAAGUACCUUCGGGAACGAGUAAAGUGGCGGACGGGUGAGUAAUGCAUAGGAAUCUGCCCAGUAGUGGGGGACAACUCGGGGAAACUCGAGCUAAUACCGCAUGUGUCUUACGAGACAAAGACUUCGGUCGCUAUUGGAUGAGCCUAUGUCAGAUUAGCUUGUUGGUGGGGUAAAGGCCUACCAAGGCUACGAUCUGUAGCUGGUCUGAGAGGAUGAUCAGCCACACUGGGACUGAGACACGGCCCAGACUCCUACGGGAGGCAGCAGUGGGGAAUAUUGGACAAUGGGCGAAAGCCUGAUCCAGCAAUGCAGCGUGUGGAAGAAGGCCUGCGGGUUGUAAAGCACUUUCAGUAGGGAAGAUAAUGACGGUACCUACAGAAGAAGCACCGGCUAA